UUAUGGAUUUUGGAGAGAUUUAACUCUAAUUUGUCAGUGAGCUACCCCUUCGCUCCGUUUCCUAGAACGAUGCCCUCUUUCUCUAAACCCCUCCAUUUUCUCCCAAAACCCUCAUCUUCAAUCUCCAAACCCUACUCUCUUCAAUCCAAUCCAUUCUCCACUUACUCCCAAAAAUCCAACAGGCGCCCAAAGAAGAAAGUCUACCAUCGAGAGCCAGACCUCGACAAAGCCAUGGACCUCAACAAGAAACCCUCCCUCAUCCUCCACCUCAAAACCCUCAUCGCUUCCCAAAAAACCCAAUCAAUUCUCCUCAGAGACCUCGAGAAAGAAGUGGGUUUCAUUAAAAAAUGGAACUUUCUCUCUCUGAUUCAAAAACACCCAACAGUGUUCAAAGUCUCAGGGGGCUCAAAUUCUCGAUCCCCGAUCUCUGUUAAGCUCACUGAUAAAGCGCUGAAGAUUUUGAACGAAGAAGACGUUGCUAGAGAGCUGAUGGAGCCCAUUUUGGUUAGGAAUUUGAGGAAGCUGCUGAUGAUGUCAAUGGACUGCCAGAUUCCAAUGGAGAAGAUUGAGCUCGUUGAGAAUGAUUUCGGUUUGCCCAAAAACUUUAAGAAUUUGUUGAUUCCUAAAUACCCAGAAUUUUUUUCAAUCAAAAUUGUUGAUGGGUUGGAGUAUCUAUGCUUGGAGAGUUGGGAUUCUUCGCUUGCGGUCACUGCUCGCGAAGAAAGAUUAGACCUUGGAAGCGUUGAGAAACCAUCAAAGGUGAUUUCUAGAGAUGGCAAUUUCUCGGGGCCGUUUGCUUUUAAAAUGAGAUAUCCACCGGGUUUUCGUCCAAAUGUACAUUAUCUGGAGGAGGUGAAGAAAUGGCAGAAGUUAGCAUUUCCUUCUCCGUAUUUGAAUGCGAGAAGGAUUGAGCCAGCAACACCGCAAGCGAGGAAGAGAGCGGUGGCGGUGUUGCACGAGCUAUUGAGUUUGAUGAUGGAGAAGAGAUUGACUUCUGAUAAAUUGGAUGCUUUUCAUAAUGAGUAUCAGCUUCCUUGUAGAUUGUUGCUUUGCUUGGUUAAGAAUCAUGGGAUUUUCUAUAUCACGAAUAAGGGGGCGAGGAGCACUGUGUUUCUAAAGGAAGCUUAUGAUGGAGUCGAUUUGAUUGAGAAGUGUCCUUUGUUGAGAUUUCAAGAUCGGUUUAUGUCGCUCAUUGGGAGGACUUGCCCGAAUUUGAGUAACGCUCUGGCUGCUUGACUCAAUUUGAAGGGCAAGAAAUGCAAUCUCCUCACUCGUUGGUGCAGAUAGGGUGAUUGCAUCAACGAUUAUGGUCAACACUGACUCAACAGUCUUAAGUCUCUCAUGCCUCGACUUGCGGAUUUAUCUUAAAGUGUAUUUAUCCUAGGCCGUCACAUUACACACUCGAUCUUAUUGGCUCGCGAGUUAUGUCACAAAAUUCAUCGCCGUACUGGCCUCGCGAGGAUGUGUAUAAAAUUGGACCUUUGGAAGGCCUAUAUUUCUACGGACAGAGCGUUUCUCCUUGAUGUUAUGCAUAGGACUAUCGGGUUCAGUGAGAAGCGGAGGAGACGGACACAUGCAUGCUUGGAAGAAACAUUCUAUAUGUUUCACUUAUAAGUGUAUUAGCUCUGAAAUUCUUAAUUCUUCGAAUGACGUUUGGUAAGGAGAUAAUGUCUCUUUGUUCACACUUGUCUUGCUGGUCCUCUCUCGCCUACUUGAUGAUGAUGCUGCUCAAGAGGGUAAUCUAACCCCUUCUUCAGUUGGUGAUUUGUCGGCAUAUCAUGUUGCUUUUAUGAACGAUUUUAUGAUAUUUGCUCGUGCUACUAAGUAAGAAAAAUGCAAGAACAAUUAAAUCUAUUCUUGCAAGGAUUUCCGCUUUAUCAGACCUCUAAAUAAAUUGUAUCAAAAAUACUAUGUUUUUUGGGGGUAAUUGUCGCUACCGCUUAUGGGUUUGUCGUCAUCUGAACCUUGAGGAGGGCUCCCUUCUGAUUAGGUAUUUGGGUUUGCUUC
This is an RNA transcript of Asparagus officinalis (garden asparagus), 2007 nucleotides long. It is a transcript of the gene named protein ROOT PRIMORDIUM DEFECTIVE 1, with no coding region annotated. Lineage: Eukaryota; Viridiplantae; Streptophyta; Magnoliopsida; Asparagales; Asparagaceae. The transcript has 3 exons. The record is from RefSeq and is a predicted model, not a curated record.